AUCAUUUCUCAGCCAUUUAGCUAAGAUCAAUUGUAGUACCUGCUCUUACCAGUUGAAAAGGAAAGAAAAUACAUAUGUUACUUUUCUUUGAAAUGGAGUUAUGGAGUUUAUGGAGAUUCAGAAUGGUAUUGAGCUUAAACUGCAUAUAAAUACACAUAAUCUCACUGCUAUGUUAUUUUUGGGUUUUCA
Nycticebus coucang (slow loris) is the source of this 189-nucleotide small nuclear RNA. RefSeq annotates it as U2 spliceosomal RNA. The record is from RefSeq and is a predicted model, not a curated record. The transcript has a single exon. Lineage: Eukaryota; Metazoa; Chordata; Mammalia; Primates; Lorisidae.